This is a transfer RNA of Loxodonta africana (African savanna elephant), 63 nucleotides long. It matches the Rfam family "tRNA". From Rfam's summary of the family: Transfer RNA (tRNA) molecules are approximately 80 nucleotides in length. Their secondary structure includes four short double-helical elements and three loops (D, anti-codon, and T loops). Further hydrogen bonds mediate the characteristic L-shaped molecular structure. tRNAs have two regions of fundamental functional importance: the anti-codon, which is responsible for specific mRNA codon recognition, and the 3' end, to which the tRNAs corresponding amino acid is attached (by aminoacyl-tRNA synthetases). tRNAs cope with the degeneracy of the genetic code in two manners: having more than one tRNA (with a specific anti-codon) for a particular amino acid; and 'wobble' base-pairing, i.e. permitting non-standard base-pairing at the 3rd anti-codon position. Lineage: Eukaryota; Metazoa; Chordata; Mammalia; Proboscidea; Elephantidae. The record is from Rfam.
GUUGCACAGUGGCUAAAGCAUUUGGUUGUUAACCAGAAGGUUGGUGGUUCGAACCCACCAACU